RNAcentral lists this non-coding RNA (252 nucleotides) under Lederbergia galactosidilytica. RNAcentral's name for it is "Bacillus galactosidilyticus T-box sequence". It matches the Rfam family "T-box leader". Rfam says of the family: Uncharged tRNA acts as the effector for transcription antitermination of genes in the T-box leader family. T-boxes are found upstream of many aminoacyl-tRNA synthetase genes and some amino acid biosynthetic genes usually in Gram-positive bacteria. Lineage: Bacteria; Bacillati; Bacillota; Bacilli; Caryophanales; Bacillaceae. The record is from RNAcentral.
AUACUUGCUUUGACAGGAAUAAGUAGCGGGCUGUCCCUGUAAAUUAGAGAAUCGAUGGUUGGUGCAAAUCGAUACACACAGUCUGACCGAAUUACCUCCUUGAGCAUUUGUCGUGAGGAAUUACCUCCUUGAGCAUUUGUCGUGAGAAAUCAAUAAUAGCGACAAACGGUAUAAUGCCGUUAUAGAUCAAGAGUGGGGAGUGGAGUAAUCCAUUCUCAAGUUGGGUGGUAACACGGUUAAAUCGUCCCUUCG